Molecule: ribosomal RNA, 460 nt
Filed under: uncultured bacterium
Lineage: Bacteria
Description: partial 16S ribosomal RNA
Rfam family: Bacterial small subunit ribosomal RNA
Source: RNAcentral
CCUACGGGGGGCAGCAGUGAGGAAUAUUGGUCAAUGGACGAGAGUCUGAACCAGCCAAGUAGCGUGAAGGAUGAAUGCCCUAUGGGUUGUAAACUUCUUUUAUAUGGGAAUAAAAUGUUCCACGUGUGGGCUUUUGUAUGUACCAUAUGAAUAAGGAUCGGCUAACUCCGUGCCAGCAGCCGCGGUAAUACGGAGGAACCGAGCGUUAUCCGGAUUUAUUGGGUUUAAAGGGAGCGUAGGUGGAUUGUUAAGUCAGUUGUGAAAGUUUGCGGCUCAACCGUAAAAUUGCAGUUGAAACUGGCAGUCUUGAGUACAGUAGAGGUGGGCGGAAUUCGUGGUGUAGCGGUGAAAUGCUUAGAUAUCACGCAGAACUCCGAUUGCGAAGGCAGCUCACUGGACUGCAACUGACACUGAGGCUCGAAAGUGUGGGUAUCAAACAGGAUUAGAUACCCCAGUAGUC